GACGAACGCUGGCGGUGUGCUUAACACAUGCAAGUCGAACGGUAAGGCCCUUUCGGGGGUACACGAGUGGCGAACGGGUGAGUAACACGUGAGUAACCUGCCCUCAUCUCUGGGAUAACAGUCGGAAACGGUUGCUAAUACUGGAUAUGAGCUUGCAAGGCAUCUUGUGGGUUGGAAAGAUUUUUUUUGGUUGGGGAUGGACUCGCGGCCUAUCAGCUUGUUGGUGAGGUAGUGGCUCACCAAGGCUUCGACGGGUAGCCGGCCUGAGAGGGCGACCGGCCACAUUGGGACUGAGAUACGGCCCAAACUCCUACGGGAGGCAGCAGUGGGGAAUAUUGCACAAUGGACGGAAGUCUGAUGCAGCAACGCCGCGUGCGGGAUGACGGCCUUCGGGUUGUAAACCGCUUUCAAUUGUGACGAAGCUUUUUUGUGACGGUAGCAGUAGAAGAAGCACCGGCCAACUACGUG
RNAcentral lists this ribosomal RNA (468 nucleotides) under uncultured bacterium. RNAcentral describes it as "partial 16S ribosomal RNA". It matches the Rfam family "Bacterial small subunit ribosomal RNA", at positions 28 to 507 of the family's 1533-position model. The record is from RNAcentral.